This 116-nucleotide ribosomal RNA is filed under the name uncultured bacterium. RNAcentral describes it as "partial 16S ribosomal RNA". It matches the Rfam family "Bacterial small subunit ribosomal RNA", at positions 1369 to 1482 of the family's 1533-position model. The record is from RNAcentral.
CGUUCCCGGGUCUUGUACACACCGCCCGUCACACCACGAAAGUCAGCAACACCCGAAGCCGGUGGCCUAACCCGCAAGGGAGGGAGCCGUCGAAGGUGGGGUCGGCGAUUGGGGUG